UACGUAGGGUGCGAGCGUUGUCUGGAAUUACUGGGCGUAAAGAGCUCGUAGGUGGUUUGUCGCGUCGUCUGUGAAAUUCCGGGGCUUAACCUCGGGCGUGCAGGCGAUACGGGCAAUACUUGAGUGCUGUAGGGGAGACUGGAAUUCCUGGUGUAGCGGUGAAAUGCGCAGAUAUCAGGAGGAACACCAAUGGCGAAGGCAGGUCUCUGGGCAGUUACUGACGCUGAGGAGCGAAAGCAUGGGUAGCGAACAGGAUUA
RNAcentral lists this ribosomal RNA (258 nucleotides) under uncultured prokaryote. RNAcentral's name for it is "partial 16S ribosomal RNA". It matches the Rfam family "Bacterial small subunit ribosomal RNA", at positions 524 to 780 of the family's 1533-position model. The record is from RNAcentral.